This 230-nucleotide ribosomal RNA is filed under the name uncultured bacterium. RNAcentral's name for it is "partial 16S ribosomal RNA". It matches the Rfam family "Bacterial small subunit ribosomal RNA", at positions 118 to 350 of the family's 1533-position model. The record is from RNAcentral.
UGAGCAACCUGCCCUUAGCUCUGGGAUAACCCCGGGAAACCGGGGCUAAUACCGGAUACGAGUCCGAGCGGCAUCACGCGGACUGGAAAGUUUUUCGACUAAGGAUGGGCUCGCGGCCUAUCAGCUUGUUGGUGGGGUAAUGGCCUACCAAGGCGACGACGGGUAGCCGGCCUGAGAGGGCGACCGGCCACACUGGGACUGAGACACGGCCCAGACUCCUACGGGAGGCA